Long non-coding RNA from Triticum dicoccoides, 2489 nucleotides. RefSeq lists it as uncharacterized. The record is from RefSeq and is a predicted model, not a curated record. Lineage: Eukaryota; Viridiplantae; Streptophyta; Magnoliopsida; Poales; Poaceae. The transcript has 3 exons.
CAGCUGCACAUCGACCGGCACGCCAAGGUCCUCGUCACAACGCGUCCUUUCUCAUCAAACACGCCACGUCCUCCUCUCCUCUUCUCUGACAGCCAGAUCCUCUCUCCCUCGCGUCGUCUCCUACGAUUUUGCCUCUCAACAACGAAUCCAGAUCCAUGCAGGUCGACCUUAGAUGCCACGCUGGGAGGCACCAGGAGGAGGAGAGGUCGUGACCGACGGCGGAGGAGUGGCCGCGGCGGUGGAUGAAAGUUUGUGUCGCGUGGCGGCGUCGUGGACAUCGGCGCCGACUCCUGCACCUUCGGCUCGCCUUCCUCACCUUGCCGCCGCACCAUCGGCUCCUCCCUCUCGGCCUCCUCUUUCCCCACCCCUCUUUGUUGUACACGGCGGCAGGAGGGUCGCAUCUAAGAGUAGCUUCUCUGAUUCAUGUGAUUGUGUUUUCUUAGUUCAUUUUGCGCUAAUCCGUUGCUCGUCGCCUGUUCGUUUUUAUGCUGCAUCGUUGUAUGACUGUGUAUGCAUCUUGUAUUGCUGGUCUGAUUUUCCCCUUUUGACAACUCUCAUUAAAUCAUUCAACUACUGAACUUGAUACUUUUAGUUCUUUGAACCGAUCGAAAUGAUUUCAGUGGUGAAGUAGGUAUGUGGCACUUCAAGUUUGAGGAAGUAGCAAUUGGAGAGAAUGGGAGGAGAGAGGAUGAUGAGCUUUCAAAUGUUUGUAUGGUCCCGUGACGCGUCUCCUCUGCACUUCAGGGUCACAAGUGACUUCUGGCAAAAGAUUGCGAACAAAGCUAUGCAAGAGUUAUUAUUUUUGGUCCUAUUGAAGCUGGCCACUACAAUGGUUCUUCAGUCUACAGAGUUUCAUGUUGAGCUUUUGAUAAUCACAGGACAUCAGAUAUCUUUGGCAUGCCUAAUGGCCUAAUGGAGUUGUGCAACACAGGUAAGGAAGGUGAAGGUCUGAGUCUGAAGUAAAUGAUACUAAGAUUGUAAGAAUGAGGUGAUGUCGUCCGGAUGUAAAUUGAAUGUUUAGUCACCAUAUAUUACAGUUUUGAUCUCUUUUUUUUGGCAAAUGAUUCAUAGUAGUCAGUCACAUAUCGAGUAGUCCAGAUUUUGAAAUUUUUGGUUGCAUGCUCAUACUACUAUCCGUUCUUUGUGCUACUACAUCUGGCAGUGUCAUAUGUGCAACCUCAGAUGAAUAUAUGACAAGUUCUGCAAGUUUAUUUCAAGAUAUUUAUUUUUAACACAAUUUAUUAUAGAAUAGCAUGAUAGAGUGAUUAAUAUAACAGAACAGGUUGCUUAAAUACCUAUCAUGUUAUCAUGGUUUAUAGUUGAUUAUUACAAUAUUCGUUGUUUUACUUGGGCAUUUAUGUUAUUUAUCAUUUUCACUUAGGAGGUUUAUGUAAUUGUGGUGAGGACUACUGAUGGUUGCACAGUCAGUUAUCCUAUCGUUAAAACCAUUCAUAAGUAAGAUAUCACAUAUACGGUGCCAUUACAAUGUCAAGGAGCAUUAUAUUUGAAAUCACAUAUAUGUUUAUGAAUCAUUAUCAGUUCUAAAUUAUCAUUUUUACAUGGACAGAGGCCAACAACCUCAAGGGCAGUAAUCACUUAAGGUUUGUAUUUUUAGGUUUGCAGCACAAUGUACUCAAAAAGGGUAAUCGUGAGUUUUUGAAUGCAAGGAGGUUGUACAUGGUUUUUUAUGGUGAGUUCUGUAACUAAGCAUUCAAAUUGUACCCCAUAAAUAAUCCCCCCCACCCCUACCCCACCCCUUUGUUUUCGCCAUCCUCUUCAGCGACAGGGAUAAUUCAACUACAUGUUUGUAUCAAAAUAGAGGGAUGUUUGUAGGCUUCAUUGGAAGGUUGUUGUAGGAGACCAGAAACCUAUUUUAGUGAAUCUUAUUAUGUGGUACACUUGUGACCUUUUGCUAGAAGAGAGAAGAGGCCAAAUGAAUCUCUGCAUGAUUCUAAACUAGACUGUGAGGAAAAUUCAGUUCGUACAUAUGGUUGAUCAGGCAUGGUACUGAAUUCUUAUAACAUACGCAGAUGACCUUUGUUUCUGGGUUGAUCGAUCUAAGCUAUUAAAAUGUUCUACUGUUAUAUCUAAACUAACAUUUCUAACUGAAAUCAUUCUGAAGCGAAACUGGGAAUCAAACAAGGCAGCUCAAUGUGCUGAAAAAAGAUAGGAGCGCACAUGAACGCCCCAACCACUAGUCACCAUGAAGACGGAGGGUAAGACUGUUGUUUUUGUAUGAGGAAAAAAAGUGGAGCAGAUACAUAGAAAACCCAUCGCCAUCAGAACAGGGUUAGCCAUGCGUUGGCUAAGCAUGCUGGACUAGAUACAACUUGUUGGUUUGGCUCUUUGCCUCGGUUAAAUUAUUUCACGGUUAAUCUGGGAUGUAGAGUAUUGUUGUUUCUUCAGAUUGAAACUUUUCUAUUUUUCUCACAAGAAAAAAGUUGGGCUUUUUCUUAAAGAUCGGCAGCCCAAUAUAUUUUUUUUAAUAA